GACAGGUGGUGCAUGGUUGUCGUCAGCUCGUGUCGUGAGAUGUUGGGUUAAGUCCCGCAACGAGCGCAACCCCUAUGUUAGUUGCCAUCAUUCAGUUGGGCACUCUAGCGAGACUGCCGGUAAUAAACCGGAGGAAGGUGGGAUGACGUCAAAUCAUCAUGCCCCUUAUGACCUGGGCUACACACGUGCUACAAUGGUUGGUACAACGAGUUGCGAGUCGGUGACGGCGAGCUAAUCUCUUAAAGCCAAUCUCAGUUCGGAUUGUAGGCUGCAACUCGCCUACAUGAAGUCGGAAUCGCUAGUAAUCGCGGAUCAGCACGCCGCGGUGAAUACGUUCCCGGGCCUU
This 346-nucleotide ribosomal RNA is filed under the name uncultured Streptococcus sp. RNAcentral's name for it is "bacterial SSU rRNA". It matches the Rfam family "Bacterial small subunit ribosomal RNA", at positions 1033 to 1382 of the family's 1533-position model. The record is from RNAcentral. Lineage: Bacteria; Bacillati; Bacillota; Bacilli; Lactobacillales; Streptococcaceae.